UACAAACUGGAUUCGUUCAUAACGGAUGCAGACGGUUGUAUUAUCAGUAACGGAAGCAUUUUUGUUGAGCCCUGCCGGAUCCAGCACAAACGCUAGUGUGAAAGUAGCCUAAUUCCUCUAGCUAGGUCCUCUAGAUUAAAUUGUUAGUCAAAGGGGUUAUGUGAUCAUCUUUCCCUCUCCUCCUUAGAGGGAUCUAUGUGUUAAGGCGGGGGUUUUCUGUUCAGAGCACUCGUGUAUGGGUGAGAGUGGAGCCCCUCUCACAUUGGAGGACACAACACAUCUGUGUUUGCAUUGUAGUGGGAAUUGUGUAAUGCAUCAUUUUUCCCUGCAGGGGCACUGAAUGCUUGAUGCUGAGCGUUCCCACACAUCACAGCUGAUUCUUAGAUGGUCCUAGAUGUGGGGCAUCCUUUGGUCAGCUUAUUGCCAGGUAGCCAAGAAUGAGAUUGUCCAGUUAGUGUCGGAAGUAGAACUAAUUGACGCUCCAUUCUCAUUGGUGACCACCCACUGAAGAUUUUGGAUAGCCAAAAAGUCUGAUUUAGAUCUUCUGCCAACAAUCGACACCUUUAAACAUGAGGAACUAUCUGACAUUUGGCAUCUGUCAAGCUAUCUGUUCAUCUGCUUCUUUGAGAUUUUUGGCCGUUGUCAGGUGCUGCAGUUAAAUAGGGUUUCUAGUUAUCUAAAGUUAGCCCCUAGCCACAGGAUAGGGGUUAAAUAUUAGAGCGGUGGGGGUCCUACUGCUGGGACUCCCCACCGAUCAUGAGAAUGAGGGCCUCAUUGGCCAUACACACGGCAUCUCCUUUUUUAUGGGAAUUCUGGAUAUAGCCAAGAGCUGUACUCUGGAACUGCCAUAGAUGUGAAUGAAGUGGCUGCGUGCACGACUGACCGGCUUCUCUGUUCAUUUCAGGGACUUCAUGACAUACCAGUCUCCCUCCCCCCACACACUCUUGUGAUCGGUAGGUCCCUGACUGAUCUAAUAGUUAACCCCCUAACCAUAGAAUAGGAGAUAACUUUAGUAUCCCUUUAAGGCCGAAUGCCAGAUCAAUGAAAGUCCACACCAGGCCAAAGAUUACAGCUGAGAUUGGUUGAAUAGAGGUUUUAACUUAUGGCCUUGUAGGCUUAGGGCUCAUGCACAUGAGUGUGUGCGCCCCCAUCUGCGGUUACCUUCUGAGAGAGCUGGAUGUGGGGCGAGUGCAGAAUAAUAAAGAAUACAUUAACACUUGUUCAUAUCUGGCUGCACUGUUUUGUAAUCUAAACUAAUGCCACACAAAUAUCUGAACAGUGCCUUACAUUUUUCUCAUCCCUCUGAGAGCUAUCCUUGGUUUCUGGCCAAAAAUACAGGGCCUUCAAGACCAGGCCUGCAGCCAUGUAUAUAUACCCUGAGGCUAAACAUUGGGGCUCCAUUUCAGUUGAGAUGAAUGCUAGCUCCCAGGUACACAACAUUCAGGAAGAGACGACCAAACACUGUUUUAUAGCCGUAGAAUAAAUGCCCUCCCCUAUAUAGGAACACAGCCCUCUAGUGCCUUAUUGAAGUGCCAUACGUAGUCUUAUUUAUGAACAGGUCUUUAGUGCCAGCCUUUGCCACCUUUUUAUUCUCUAGAAUGUCUUUGUCUUAACUGUAGAUUUUGUUAGUUUCUAUAAAUUCUGCAACCGACCUGUAACAAAGAUUAUCUGUGCCAUAAGUAAACUUGAUCAAACGCC
This is a long non-coding RNA of Bufo bufo (common toad), 1698 nucleotides long. RefSeq lists it as uncharacterized. The transcript has 2 exons. The record is from RefSeq and is a predicted model, not a curated record. Lineage: Eukaryota; Metazoa; Chordata; Amphibia; Anura; Bufonidae.